RNAcentral lists this transfer RNA (70 nucleotides) under Mus musculus (house mouse). Its description in RNAcentral is "tRNA-Asn". Lineage: Eukaryota; Metazoa; Chordata; Mammalia; Rodentia; Muridae. The record is from RNAcentral.
GGAAGAUAGCUCAGUGGUUAAGAGCACUGACUGUUUUUCCAGAGAUCCUGAGUUCAACUCCCAGCAACCA